Molecule: ribosomal RNA, 253 nt
Filed under: uncultured bacterium
Lineage: Bacteria
Description: partial 16S ribosomal RNA
Rfam family: Bacterial small subunit ribosomal RNA
Source: RNAcentral
UACGUAUGGUGCAAGCGUUAUCCGGAUUUACUGGGUGUAAAGGGAGCGCAGGCGGCACGGCAAGCCUGAUGUGAAAGCCCGCGGCCCAACCGCGGGACUGCAUUGGGGACUACCGGGCUGGAGUGCCGGAGAGGUAGGCGGAAUUCCUAGUGUAGCGGUGAAAUGCGUAGAUAUUAGGAGGAACACCAGUGGCGAAGGCGGCCUACUGGACGGUGACUGACGCUGAGGCUCGAAAGCGUGGGGAGCAAACAGG